Molecule: ribosomal RNA, 765 nt
Filed under: uncultured bacterium
Lineage: Bacteria
Description: bacterial SSU rRNA
Rfam family: Bacterial small subunit ribosomal RNA
Source: RNAcentral
GACGACCUUUGGCGGCACGCUUAACACAUGCAAGUCGAACGAGAGAAGAGAAGCUUGCUUUUCUGAUCUAGUGGCGGACGGGUGAGUAACACGUGAGCAAUCUGCCUUUCAGAGGGGGAUACCGAUUGGAAACGAUCGUUAAUACCGCAUAACAUAAUUGAACCGCAUGAUUUGAUUAUCAAAGAUUUAUCGCUGAAAGAUGAGCUCGCGUCUGAUUAGCUAGUUGGUAAGGUAACGGCUUACCAAGGCGACGAUCAGUAGCCGGACUGAGAGGUUGAUCGGCCACAUUGGGACUGAGACACGGCCCAGACUCCUACGGGAGGCAGCAGUGGGGAAUAUUGCACAAUGGAGGAAACUCUGAUGCAGCGAUGCCGCGUGAGGGAAGAAGGUUUUAGGAUUGUAAACCUCUGUCUUCAGGGACGAAAAAAGACGGUACCUGAGGAGGAAGCUCCGGCUAACUACGUGCCAGCAGCCGCGGUAAUACGUAGGGAGCGAGCGUUGUCCGGAAUUACUGGGUGUAAAGGGAGCGUAGGCGGGAUCGCAAGUCAGAUGUGAAAACUAUGGGCUUAACCCAUAAACUGCAUUUGAAACUGUGGUUCUUGAGUGAAGUAGAGGUAAGCGGAAUUCCUAGUGUAGCGGUGAAAUGCGUAGAUAUUAGGAGGAACAUCAGUGGCGAAGGCGGCUUACUGGGCUUUAACUGACGCUGAGGCUCGAAAGCGUGGGGAGCAAACAGGAUUAGAUACCCUGGUAGUCCACGCCGUAAAA